UCAACUGUCGACUGUGGCAUAGACGCCCACAGUGGUUUUGACGGGUAACGGGGAAUCAGGGUUCGAUUCCGGAGAGGGAGCCUUAAAAACGGCUACCACAUCUAAGGAAGGCAGCAGGCACGCAAAUUACCCAAUGACCGAAGGUCGAGGUAGUGACGAAAAAUAACGAUAGAGGACUCAUCCGAGGCCCUCUAAUUGGAAUGAGUACACUUUAAAACCGUCCCCGAGGAUCUAUUGGAGGGCAAGUCUAGUGCCAGCAGCCGCGGUAAUUCCAGCUCCAAUAGCGUAUAUUAAAGUUGUUGUGGUUAAAAAGCUCGUAGUUGGAUCUCAACAGCCUUGAAGCGGUUAACUUUGUAGUUUUACUGCUUUAUAAGCUGUGCUUUUGCUGGAGGUUUAGGGGUGCUCUUGAUCGAGUGUCUCUGGAUGCCAGCAGGUUUACUUUGAAAAAAUUAGAGUGCUCAAAGCAGGCUAAAAUGCCUGAAUAUUCAUGCAUGGAAUAAUAGAAUAGGAUGUCGAUCCUAUUUUGUUGGUUUUCGGGACUCGACAUAAUGAUAAAUAGGGACAGUCGGGGGCAUUUGUAUUCAAACGACAGAGGUGAAAUUCUUGGACCGUUUGAAGACAAACUACUGCGAAAGCAUUUGCCAAGAAUGUUUUCAUUAAUCAAGAACGAAAGUUAGAGGUUCGAAGGCGAUUAGAUACCGCCCUAGUUCUAACCAUAAACGAUGCCAGCUAGCGAUCUGCCUGCGUUUUUACUGUAGACUGGGCAGGAAGCUUCCGGGAAACCAAAGCAUUUGGGUUCCAGGGGAAGUAUGGUUGCAAAGCUGAAACUUAAAGGAAUUGACGGAAGGGCACCACCAGAAGUGGAGCCUGUGGCUUAAUUUGACUCAACACGGGAAAUCUCACCAGGCCCGGACACUGGAAGGAUUGACAGAUUGAUAGCUCUUUCUUGAUUCGGUGGGUGGUGGUGCAUGCCCGUUCUU
RNAcentral lists this ribosomal RNA (980 nucleotides) under Copepoda environmental sample. RNAcentral describes it as "SSU rRNA". It matches the Rfam family "Eukaryotic small subunit ribosomal RNA", at positions 315 to 1295 of the family's 1831-position model. The record is from RNAcentral. Lineage: Eukaryota; Metazoa; Arthropoda; Copepoda.